UCAGCGAAUUUAUAAGAAUGUAGCAACUGCUAGCAUCAGUGAUGUGCCGUUCUCGGGAAUGUUCCCAAAGUGGGAAUGUUUCCGUUGCAAAAACUUUUUAGUAGUAAAAUAAUGGCUGUUUUUCUUUUUCAAAUUGUUCUUUUUUGUGCUCUAUAAUGUUAUCUGCGUAAAGGUUAGGUAAUAAAGCUCUUUUUAUCAUAAAUUUUCCGUCUUUUACUGCUGGGUACAUUCCCUAAGUGGGAAAAUUCUCGGGAACGACACAUCACUGGUAAGCACAAUACGUCAUUCUAGCAAAUUUUGCAAAAAUCGUGCAUUUUGUGUAUUUUGCAUUUUAUUUGCAAUCUACACUUUAAUACCUUCAAGGUGCGUCAUUCAUUUUUAAAACUCGAAGAGGUUAGACACGACACGAGUGCAUCUACUUGAUCAACAUGACGACGUCAUCUGAAGACAUAACGUACAUGUUCGAACAACAUGCGCAAGACCCGCUGGCAAACUUUGAUGAAGAUUAUCCAGAGUUGGCCAGACUCCACCGCGAACCAAAGAAGAGGAAGCCUGCCAAGCGAAAUGUUAGCGUGCAGUGCGUCUCAAAAAAAUACGUCAUAAGGACACAUCAUCCUUCGUGCUACAAAACCACCACACCCCGGGCACUCGACUAAUUAGAGUCCAAGUUGUCGAUCUAGAGAACAGUCCCCAAGUUACUCAUGACAACGGGGACCCUGAGGAAAACAUUUUAAUGAGCGCCCAGUACGUGGUACAUAAGGAUUCCUAUGAUGAAGUGUUAACGCAGACAGAAGCACUUAUCGCAAACAUAUCAAAAAAGUUGUGUAAUUAUCAUUUCUAGUGCAAUAAAUAUUUUAUAUUUA
This 863-nucleotide long non-coding RNA is filed under the name Pectinophora gossypiella (pink bollworm). Its description in RNAcentral is "uncharacterized LOC126381530". Lineage: Eukaryota; Metazoa; Arthropoda; Insecta; Lepidoptera; Gelechiidae. The record is from RNAcentral.